ACUUUUGGUGCUCUACAGUAAGGCAGAGACCAACCAAAAAAAAGUCAAAUAAACAAGAAAUUGGUGAAAUUAAAGAAUGGGCAACCCAGCAUUUCCAAGGCUGGAUGUUCUUCAUGUGUCCUUCCUACCCAGGCAGUUUCACGCUGUGUGAGGAAUAUUUGAAUAAUACAUUGGAGUAACAUUUGGGGUUUGUUUGUUCCCUUUUGGUGAAGGAUCAAGGCCACCCUUGUGUCCCUCUUGCCAAGGUGGCUGUUUGAAGACUUUCCCCACAUGGAGAACAGCACCGUGUUGAAGUCACUCCAGGACAAGGCUGAUUUCCCCAGCGACAGCCUCCAGGAGCCCUUCCUGGCCUCCGCUGAGCCCGCAGUCACGGAGGUGGAGGAGGUGCCGGCGCAGGAGCAGCCCCAGAGCCUGGACACCAAGGCCAGGGCAGAGGUGCCCGAGCCCGGGGAGCUGCCAGGGACCGUGGUGGUCCCCAGCAGCCCGGCCCCAGGGCAGCUGGGUGCCUACAAACCCCAACUCUCCGACGGGAACGCUCUGGGAUACGUCGCUGCCGGAAUCUACCGGGCACAGCCGCCCGCGGUGGCGCCGCAGCCAGAGGUGGGAAUCUGCCCCCAGGACUACAGCAGCCCCGUCCCCACCCUGUGGGACCAGCAGGGAGGGACAGCCCAGGUGUGCCUGCUGGAGAAGAUCAACCUGGUGCUCAACAGCAGCCUGGGGUUCCCAGGGCAGGCGGGACUCGGAUCCAUCCCGCAGCAGCGCUGGGAGCCGCCCGGAGAGGGGCCCCAGCAGAUGCUGGUCCCCAAGGAGCUGCUGUCCUGCCUCAGAGCCACCAGGGAGUCUGUGGGUGCAAACCCCCACACGGCAUGGGAGGGCUGUCCUGACAGCAGCUGGAACUGGGGAUGAAGCCCUGGAGCAGCCACCAAGGCAGUGCCAGCAUCGGGAUUGCCCAUGGAAGAGCCAGAGCAAAACUCCCAAUGGAAUUUUGCCUUCUUACUCCACUGCGGGUUCUUGUGGCUGCCUGGGAAUCUUGAGCCAGCAAAUCUCAAUUUUAACCUUACCUCACACUGGCAGAAGCAAAAAAACUCAUAAAGCUUGGAUUCCUGGAAUGCCAAGCAGGAGAUUCCUGCAGGGUUCAAUAACUUCAGUUACUGCUCAGCACUGUCCUCUUGUUAAAGGUUUGGAGCACUUCAUUCCCAAAUGUUUGGAGCACUUCAUUCCUGGAGCCAAUUGCAGUCCAAAUGGAUAAAGAAAUCCCUCAGACAUCCUGGCAGAGAAGUGGAAAAUAUUUUGGGAUUGCUCCUGAUGAACAGACCAAGGAGGAUUUAUGAGUCACACAGAUAUCAAGGACAUGGAAUAUUUUCUGUAUUUCAUUUUCCUCCCACUCCCAAUAAAAGCCCACUCAGGUAAGAACA
RNAcentral lists this long non-coding RNA (1415 nucleotides) under Chloebia gouldiae (Gouldian finch). RNAcentral describes it as "Erythrura gouldiae (Gouldian finch) lncRNA (ENSEGOG00005017622.1)". Lineage: Eukaryota; Metazoa; Chordata; Aves; Passeriformes; Passeridae. The record is from RNAcentral.